AAUUUUUGUUCUCAUUGAUUGAACAAGCAAGGAAUGGCCCACACAGAGGAAUCCUGAGUUCACAAUACCCUUCUGAAAUGCAGAGCUGGUGAAACAUGUAUCCGUCAUCCAUUGCUUUCUGUGUCUUGUAGCAUACCUACUGCUGUGAUAACUGAGCACCUGUCAAGAUACUAUAUUGCUAGUCAUGGAAAUGGAAGUCAUCUCAGAUUUAUCAACAGAGAAGCUGACAUUGCUGCCUCGCAAGUUUCUCAGCUUUUGUGCCUCAACCUUGACCCUCAAGGAUCUACUUCUCAAGGCAAGAAAGCAGCAAAUUCUCCUCACGGACUUAAUCACUGUCUCCUCUGCUAUGGGUUCUGAUUCAUGAGGUGGUAGAGAUCUCUUUAACCAAACCAGAUCACCUGGAAGUACUCACUGCUAUAGGACGCAGAGUGCACACUUGCCACAAGCUGACUUCAGCAUUCCAGGUCUCAGUAAUACCCACAGUGAAGUGGAAAACUGCUCCUUGCUUGUGACCACAAGUGGAUCACUGAUGCUAAUGGGCACCUUUCAGACAUUAAGGCUCUGGCCGUAUUUGAACUCCAAGACAUUCUUCAUACCCUCAUUGUCCUUUGAGCUCACAAAGGAUGCUCACAAUCUUGCAAAAAAGCCGUGCUCCAAAGUCAUCAAGUGAUAUUAGAUUGUGUCUCAAAACCACUAGAGGUUCCCUCCAUUUCCCAGAAGGUGUCCCGGAGCUGGAGCCAAUUCAGCUGCCAAGAUGCUGCCUUUCUCACCUGCUGAUUGCAAUUAGCCACUGCCAGCUGGGACCUGGUGUGCCACUGAAGAACUAACAAGAAGCAGAGACCAGCAUGAUGCCUCGACAGCAUAUACACAGUGAAUAAAUAAGAAAUGCUGCACUGUAUCCCUGAAGUUGCUUCACCACAAAAGCAAUUCCUAUGUCCCUACAUGCAUGUCAGAGAUUCAGCUUGCUUCUCAUGCUCUUACCUCAUGCUGUCACAUACUUGCCAGGAAUGAAACACGGGGAAAUGAAGGUUACUGAUGGUAAAAACAAACCCAGCUGUGGUCUUGUUAAGAAAUCUUUUGGCUCACCUCUAUCCUCAGGCAGCACCCAUCAUCACAGGGGAGAGGUCACCUCUGAUUAUGGUG
RNAcentral lists this long non-coding RNA (1143 nucleotides) under Gallus gallus (chicken). Lineage: Eukaryota; Metazoa; Chordata; Aves; Galliformes; Phasianidae. The record is from RNAcentral.